This 57-nucleotide transfer RNA is filed under the name Vibrio parahaemolyticus. RNAcentral describes it as "tRNA-Phe". It matches the Rfam family "tRNA", at positions 8 to 62 of the family's 71-position model. Rfam says of the family: Transfer RNA (tRNA) molecules are approximately 80 nucleotides in length. Their secondary structure includes four short double-helical elements and three loops (D, anti-codon, and T loops). The record is from RNAcentral. Lineage: Bacteria; Pseudomonadati; Pseudomonadota; Gammaproteobacteria; Vibrionales; Vibrionaceae.
UAGCUCAGUCGGUAGAGCAGAGGAUUGAAAAUCCUCGUGUCGGUGGUUCGAUUCCGC